This is a non-coding RNA of Lactuca sativa (garden lettuce), 874 nucleotides long. The record is from RefSeq and is a predicted model, not a curated record. NCBI's taxonomy places the organism in Eukaryota, Viridiplantae, Streptophyta, Magnoliopsida, Asterales, Asteraceae.
CGACCAUGCCUCUCUUUUUCAUCAUCGUAAACGCAAAAUCAUACUGGAAUAGGAAGAGUUAUUUUGGUUUCUUCUUCAUCACUAUUCUUUUGAACAUCCAUUAUAUGGCAUCUAAACUAGACUGGAAAACCUAGACAUCAACUGGAUCAUCCAUAGCCAACACAACCAGCAGGUGUUUUUUUCAUACGCUCACAAUAUCUCCUUCUUAGUUCUCUUUCUUUACCCCUUUUGGAAUCUAUCCAGAAAAGCUUCAAAAAAUCAAGAUACAACCUUAAUAAUGAAAUCACAGUACCUUUUUUCUCUUCCUUAAAUCAAUGAAUAUCGAUUUCUCCUCCCACUCCUUCAUGAAUCGGCACCAGAUAAUCCUAGCCAGGAAAACCUUUUAAUCCUUCACGAUGGUUGGUAAAAAAUACGAGCAUAGUCACAAAUCGUCUUCUUUUAAAAUCGAGCAUAACUCCUUUUGGUGUUGGUUCAUCUUCUCAAAGUCGAUCAUAAAUCGAGCACAACUCGUCUUCUCAAAAUGAUAAUGAUUUGUAGUUGUUUCAUAUCAAGAUGAAGGUGGGUAUUAGCAUGAGGUUAUUGUUGUCAUAAAGGGUAGUCAUUGUGUAGGUUAUUUUUUGGGUGUAUUCUUUAUCGUGUAUGCUUAACAGGUGCAAUUUCUUUUGGUUCUUGUAUUUGUUGUAGCAUUAACAACCAAGAUUCAUGUGUGUUUGCUUUCAAUUCAUUAAAAAGUGGUUAAUCUUAGUAAUACAUAUGUGUGUUCAGACUAAAUAAGAUUGGGGAUCGUUCCUCUGUGGGUUCAAUUUAGAAUAAUUUUAUUGAGCUUUUGUGUAAUCCAGUUUAUAGUUUAUAGUCAGAGGUUUCCCUGACACCA